UACGAAGGGAGCUAGCGUUGUUCGGAAUUACUGGGCGUAAAGGGCGCGUAGGCGGCUUUGUAAGUCAGAUGUGAAAUCCCCGGGCUUAACCUGGGAACUGCAUUUGAUACUGCAAAGCUAGAGGAUGAGAGAGGAAAGUGGAAUUAUGAGUGUAGAGGUGAAAUUCGUAGAUAUUCAUAAGAACAUCAGUGGCGAAGGCGGCUUUCUGGAUCAUAUCUGACGCUAAGGCGCGAAAGCGUGGGGAGCAAACAGG
This 253-nucleotide ribosomal RNA is filed under the name uncultured bacterium. RNAcentral describes it as "partial 16S ribosomal RNA". It matches the Rfam family "Bacterial small subunit ribosomal RNA", at positions 524 to 776 of the family's 1533-position model. The record is from RNAcentral.